GACGAACGCUGGCGGUAUGCUUAACACAUGCAAGUCGAACGAGACAAAAGAGAAGUGCUUGCACGGAUCUUUUAGAAAGUGGCGAACGGGUGAGUAACGCGUGGGUAACCUGCCCUAUGGAAAGGAAUAGCCUCGGGAAACUGGGAGUAAUGCCUUAUAAGAUAUAUUUGUCGCAUGGCAGAUGUAUUAAACGCUCCGGUGCCAUAGGAUGGACCCGCGUCCCAUUAGCUAGUUGGUGAGAUAACAGCCCACCAAGGCGACGAUGGGUAACCGGUCUGAGAGGGCGAACGGUCACACUGGAACUGAGACACGGUCCAGACUCCUACGGGAGGCAGCAGUGGGGAAUAUUGCGCAAUGGGGGCAACCCUGACGCAGCAAUACCGCGUGAGUGAAGAA
Molecule: ribosomal RNA, 396 nt
Filed under: uncultured bacterium
Lineage: Bacteria
Description: bacterial SSU rRNA
Rfam family: Bacterial small subunit ribosomal RNA
Source: RNAcentral